This 497-nucleotide ribosomal RNA is filed under the name uncultured bacterium. RNAcentral describes it as "partial 16S ribosomal RNA". It matches the Rfam family "Bacterial small subunit ribosomal RNA", at positions 28 to 507 of the family's 1533-position model. The record is from RNAcentral.
GAUGAACGCUGGCGGCGUGCCUAAUACAUGCAAGUCGAGCGAACGGACGAGAAGCUUGCUUCUCUGAUGUUAGCGGCGGACGGGUGAGUAACACGUGGAUAACCUACCUAUAAGACUGGGAUAACUUCGGGAAACCGGAGCUAAUACCGGAUGAUAUUUUGAACCGCAUGGUUCAAAAGUGAAAGACGGUCUUGCUGUCACUUAUAGAUGGAUCCGCGCUGCAUUAGCUAGUUGGUAAGGUAACGGCUUACCAAGGCAACGAUGCAUAGCCGACCUGAGAGAGUGAUCGGCCACCCGGGAACUGAGACACGGUCCAGAGUCCUACGGGAGGCAGCAGUAGCGAAUCUUCCGCAAUGGGCGAAAGCCUGACGGAGCAACGCGGCGUGAGUGAUGACGGUCUUCGGAUCGUAAAACUCUGUUAUUAGGGAAGAACAUAUGUGUAAGUAAAUGUGCACAUCGUGACGGUACCUAAUCAGAAAGCCACGGCUAACUACGUG